GAGGAUAUAGCUCAGUUGGUAGAUCAGCGGACUGAAAAUCCGUGGUCAGAGGUUCAAUUCCUUUUAUCCUCA
This 72-nucleotide transfer RNA is filed under the name Nitrospirota bacterium. RNAcentral's name for it is "Nitrospirae bacterium (sediment metagenome) tRNA-Phe". It matches the Rfam family "tRNA". Rfam says of the family: Transfer RNA (tRNA) molecules are approximately 80 nucleotides in length. Their secondary structure includes four short double-helical elements and three loops (D, anti-codon, and T loops). Further hydrogen bonds mediate the characteristic L-shaped molecular structure. tRNAs have two regions of fundamental functional importance: the anti-codon, which is responsible for specific mRNA codon recognition, and the 3' end, to which the tRNAs corresponding amino acid is attached (by aminoacyl-tRNA synthetases). tRNAs cope with the degeneracy of the genetic code in two manners: having more than one tRNA (with a specific anti-codon) for a particular amino acid; and 'wobble' base-pairing, i.e. permitting non-standard base-pairing at the 3rd anti-codon position. Lineage: Bacteria; Pseudomonadati; Nitrospirota. The record is from RNAcentral.